RNAcentral lists this ribosomal RNA (1012 nucleotides) under Salmonella enterica subsp. enterica serovar Infantis. RNAcentral's name for it is "partial 23S ribosomal RNA". The record is from RNAcentral. Lineage: Bacteria; Pseudomonadati; Pseudomonadota; Gammaproteobacteria; Enterobacterales; Enterobacteriaceae.
CGGCCGUAACUAUAACGGUCCUAAGGUAGCGAAAUUCCUUGUCGGGUAAGUUCCGACCUGCACGAAUGGCGUAAUGAUGGCCAGGCUGUCUCCACCCGAGACUCAGUGAAAUUGAACUCGCUGUGAAGAUGCAGUGUACCCGCGGCAAGACGGAAAGACCCCGUGAACCUUUACUAUAGCUUGACACUGAACAUUGAGCCUUGAUGUGUAGGAUAGGUGGGAGGCUUUGAAGUGUGGACGCCAGUCUGCAUGGAGCCGACCUUGAAAUACCACCCUUUAAUGUUUGAUGUUCUAACGUGGACCCGURAUCCGGGUUGCGGACAGUGUCUGGUGGGUAGUUUGACUGGGGCGGUCUCCUCCUAAAGAGUAACGGAGGAGCACGAAGGUUGGCUAAUCCUGGUCGGACAUCAGGAGGUUAGUGCAAUGGCAUAAGCCAGCUUGACUGCGAGCGUGACGGCGCGAGCAGGUGCGAAAGCAGGUCAUAGUGAUCCGGUGGUUCUGAAUGGAAGGGCCAUCGCUCAACGGAUAAAAGGUACUCCGGGGAUAACAGGCUGAUACCGCCCAAGAGUUCAUAUCGACGGCGGUGUUUGGCACCUCGAUGUCGGCUCAUCACAUCCUGGGGCUGAAGUAGGUCCCAAGGGUAUGGCUGUUCGCCAUUUAAAGUGGUACGCGAGCUGGGUUUAGAACGUCGUGAGACAGUUCGGUCCCUAUCUGCCGUGGGCGCUGGAGAACUGAGGGGGGCUGCUCCUAGUACGAGAGGACCGGAGUGGACGCAUCACUGGUGUUCGGGUUGUCAUGCCAAUGGCACUGCCCGGUAGCUAAAUGCGGAAGAGAUAAGUGCUGAAAGCAUCUAAGCACGAAACUUGCCCCGAGAUGAGUUCUCCCUGAGACUUAGAGUCUCCUGAAGGAACGUUGAAGACGACGACGUUGAUAGGCCGGGUGUGUAAGCGCAGCGAUGCGUUGAGCUAACCGGUACUAAUGAACCGUGAGGCUUAACCUUACAACGCCGAAG